GGGGCUAUAGCUCAGCUGGGAUGAGCGCCUGACUGGCAGUCAGGAGGUCGUCGGUUCGAUCCCGACUAGCUCCACCA
RNAcentral lists this transfer RNA (77 nucleotides) under subsurface metagenome. RNAcentral describes it as "tRNA-Ala". It matches the Rfam family "tRNA". Rfam says of the family: Transfer RNA (tRNA) molecules are approximately 80 nucleotides in length. Their secondary structure includes four short double-helical elements and three loops (D, anti-codon, and T loops). The record is from RNAcentral.